RNAcentral lists this ribosomal RNA (255 nucleotides) under uncultured bacterium. RNAcentral's name for it is "partial 16S ribosomal RNA". It matches the Rfam family "Bacterial small subunit ribosomal RNA", at positions 524 to 776 of the family's 1533-position model. The record is from RNAcentral.
UACGUAGGGCGCAAGCGUUUAUCCGGAAUUAUUGGGCGUAAAGAGCUCGUAGGCGGUUUGUCGCGUCUGCCGUGAAAGUCCGGGGCUCAACUCCGGAUCUGCGGUGGGUACGGGCAGACUAGAGUGAUGUAGGGGAGACUGGAAUUCCUGGUGUAGCGGUGAAAUGCGCAGAUAUCGGGAGGAACACCGAUGGCGAAGGCAGGUCUCUGGGCAUUAACUGACGCUGAGGAGCGAAAAGCAUGGGGAGCGAACAGG